This 274-nucleotide ribosomal RNA is filed under the name uncultured bacterium. RNAcentral's name for it is "partial 16S ribosomal RNA". It matches the Rfam family "Bacterial small subunit ribosomal RNA", at positions 523 to 796 of the family's 1533-position model. The record is from RNAcentral.
AUACGGAGGGUGCAAGCGUUACUCGGAAUCACAGGGCGUAAAGCGCGCGCAGGCGGCUUGAUAAGUUGGAUGUGAAAGCCUACGGCUCAACCGUAGAACUGCAUCCAAAACUGUCAAGCUAGAGUCUGGGAGGGGAAGAUGGAAUUAGUUGUGUAGGGGUAAAAUCCGUAGAGAUAACUAGGAAUACCAAAAGCGAAGGCGAUCUUCUGGAACAGUACUGACGCUGAGGCGCGAAAGCGUGGGGAGCAAACAGGAUUAGAAACCCCAGUAGUCC